CCUACGGGCGGCUGCAGUGAGGAAUAUUGGUCAAUGGGCGCGAGCCUGAACCAGCCAAGUCGCGUGAGGGAAGACGGUCCUAUGGAUUGUAAACCUCUUUUGUCGGGGAGCAAAAGACGCCACGCGUGGCGUUCCGAGAGUACCCGAAGAAAAAGCAUCGGCUAACUCCGUGCCAGCAGCCGCGGUAAUACGGAGGAUGCGAGCGUUAUCCGGAUUUAUUGGGUUUAAAGGGUGCGCAGGCGGAAGAUCAAGUCAGCGGUAAAAUUGAGAGGCUCAACCUCUUCGAGCCGUUGAACCUGGUGUUCUUGAGUGAGUGAGAGGUAUGCGGAAUGCGUGGAGUAGCGGUGAAAUGCAUAGAUAUCACGCAGAACUCCGAUUGCGAAGGCAGCAUACCGGCGCUCAACUGACGCUCAUGCACGAGAGUGUGGGUAUCGAACAGGAUUAGAUACCCUUGUAGUC
Molecule: ribosomal RNA, 459 nt
Filed under: uncultured bacterium
Lineage: Bacteria
Description: partial 16S ribosomal RNA
Rfam family: Bacterial small subunit ribosomal RNA
Source: RNAcentral